Molecule: long non-coding RNA, 4257 nt
Organism: Panthera uncia (snow leopard)
Lineage: Eukaryota; Metazoa; Chordata; Mammalia; Carnivora; Felidae
Exons: 3
Source: RefSeq, a predicted model, not a curated record
GGAGGGACACAGUCGGGGGCCGAGCAGGCAUUUUGCGGGAGACGGCGGAACUGCCUGGAAAAGGGGGGUGUCCCUCAGCGGUGGAUCUGGGAGGCGGGGAGACGUCUCUGAGGGAGGAAGUGAAGAAAUAGACAUGAUGACCUAAUCAACCACCAUCAGUAAUUUCAAAAACCGAGAACUGGUAGUGAUUACCAGGGACAUUCUCUAGAAGAAGAGUAAUGAGAAGUAACCUUCUCCAUUAUAUAUUAAAAUACAUUAUCAAACAACAAAAUUUAUAACAGCAGAACAUAGACCGAGGGGGUGCACUGAUAGCUCAAUGGCAUGGAAUAAAGUGUGGAAAUACGGAUCCAGGAACGGAUGAGGAUUUAGUAUGUUACCAGGAUAGCAUAUCCACGUGGUGAGAGAAGAGACUCUUCAGUAAGUGGCUUAAAGACAACUGGAUAGCUGUUUGGAUAGAAAAAGAGACAAGGCAGCAUUCAUGAAGCUCUACUUUUCUCUUUUUCUCUGCUGUGUACUAUUCUAUUUCAGUAUAGCAUGGGUUAGUAAGUUAUAUUCCUAUUGAUGUGCUUUUAGGCUCUUCCUUUUUGUUAUAAACAAUAACGUGAAGAGAUAAUUUUUAUAUAGCAUCUUGGGACAAACGUGUAAAUUGUUCUCUAGUGCAGAUGCAGAGAUGUGAAAUUGCUGGUUCAGAAUGCACGUACUUUUUUUUUUUUUAAUGUAUGUUCUCAGGUUGGAGCCCCCAACCCGGGGCUUGAACUCAAGACCCUGAGAUCAAGACCUGAGCUGAGAUCAAGAGUUGGACACUUAACCGACUGAGUCACCCAGGCACGCCUACUCCCCCCCAACUCCUUACUAUUAUUAUUAUUUAAGCUUAAUUUUUUUAAUGUUUAUUUAUUUUUGAGAGAGAGAAAGAGUGCAAGCGGGGAGGGGGGCAGAGAGAGAGGGAGACACAGAAUCCAAAGCAGGCUCCCGGCUCUGAGCUGUCAGCGCAGAGCCCGACGCGGGGCUCGAACUCACAGACCGUGAGAUCGUGACCUGAGCCGAAGUUGGACACUUAACCGACUGAGCCACCCAGGUGCUCUGUUAUUAUUAUUUUUUAUUAAGGACUGCUUCAUUUCCAUUUUGAAAUCCCAGACGAACUCCAGCAACAGGGGACAAGAAAACAGGCAUGAAAUAAGCUCAAAUAAAAUGGAUGGAUCAAGUUAAUAAAAAUAAAAGCAGAAAUAAAUGAAACAAACAAACCAAGAACAAUAGUUGAGAUGAUCACUAAAACCCAAAGCUGGAGUUUCUGAAAGAAUGAUACGCACAUACCAACUUCCUGCAUGUAGGAUGAAGGCAAAGAGAGAAGACACACGUGAUAUGAUGCAGGACGAGAGGGCACGGACACAGAGGAGAUUCUUAAAAUUAGGAGACUUCUUCGUGCAGCAUCCUAGCUGAAGUCAGAGGGUGAGGUAAGAGCCGCAAAUAAGGAAAGUUGCCGGAGAAAUUCUUUUGUAAGCUGGGCUGAUGUUGGAGGUAGAUAUGCUCUUGCAAAAAUCUAACGAUUUUUCUUCUUUGAAUCCCAUCGUUAUUUUUUUGGUUCAUGGCCGACUUAUGUGAAAAAUGUCUUUAAACUAUUGAAUUACCCUCAGAGCGAGAUGCUCAAAGGUAGAAACGGACUGACCGUGUGGAUAGCAGUCACAUCUUGCUCGUGUGAGGCAUAACUUCUUUAACUGGAAUGACAAGAGGAAUUAUCCACGUGGUUUAAAUUGUUAGGCUCCCUUUUCCCUUCUUUUCUUUAAAAAGAUUUUUUAAAAAAUGUAAUAGAGCAUACAUAGCAAAUUCACAUAAUAAAUGUGUGAAUGAUAUGAUCCAGCUAUAUAACUUCAUACCAAUCCGUUUGAAAACCUAGAUAAAAUGGACAAAAAUGUCAAGGAGAUUAUAAGUUACCAAAAAUUGGUCCAAGAAAGCCAAUAGAAAACACUUACAAAAAACAGAAAUGGUGGUUAAGGGCCCAUCUACCAAUAUGCCCCUCCCUCCCUAUCACCCAAUACUCAAGCCUUUUGUAGUUAUAAGUCAAGUUCUACCAAAUCUCAGAGGGGAGCUCGCUCACAUCUUACAUUUCAGAGCUUAGAAAAACACAGGGACCCACCAAUCUUAUUUUGUCAGGCUAGUGUAUUUCUGAUUUCAAGACAAGAAACUACAAUUACAGGCUAAUCUCACUUAUGAAUGUAGAGGCCAGAACUCUAAAUAAUACCAGAUAAUUGAAUCUAGUCGUGUAUUAAAAGAAUAAUAGAUCUUGAUCAAGUAGGAUUUAUCUGAGAAAUUCAAGUUGGGGAAUCAAUGGAGAUAUCAAUGUACCUGACUGUAUUUAGGGAUUAAAGGGGGGAAACCAUUCCAUGGGUACUGGGGAGACGGUUGCUAAAAUGCAACAUCUUUUCUAGAUAGAAAUAGAAAUAGUCAUAAAGGGUAUCUACCAUAAAUAUACAGCAAAUUUUUUUUUUAACGUUUUUAUUUUAUUUUUUUUGAGACAGAGAGAGACAGAGCAUGAAUGGGGGAGGGUCAGAGAGAGGGAGACACAGAAUUGAAACAGGCUCCGGGCUCUGAGCUGUCAGCACAGGGGCCCGAUGCGGGGCUCGAACUCACGGACCGCAAGAUCGUGACCUGAGCGAAGUCGGCGCUCAACCGACUGAGCCACCCAGGCGCCCCAGCAAAUAUUUUUUUUAUUGAAGUGUAAAUGACACGCAAUGUUACAUUAGUACAACAUUGUGACUUGACAACUGUAUACAUGAUGCUAUGCGGCUACUAUCUGUUCCCACGCGAUGCUGUUACAAUACCAUCCACUAUAUUCCCUGAGCUAAUAGACAGCAAAUGUUACCCUUAAUGGUGAAUCUUUAGAAACAUUGUCGUUAAGGUAAGAAGCAACACACGGAUGCCUGCCUUAACUACCAAUGAUUACAAUGCUACUGAGGGCCUACCCAAGGCAACAGGACGAAAUAAAUGUGAGGAGAUAAAUACUGGACAGGAAUAUAGAAUUUACGGAAUGGCAUUGACGGAAACGUGAGCACAAAGUUCUCUCUGCUCUCUUUGCUGUCAGUGACACUUAAAAAAACAAACACACAAACCCAAACCACGUAAGGAGCAUAAUAUAUUUCCUCUUCUGUAACUCGAUUAUAUACAUGGCAUAUCUCUGUAUGGGCACACAUACAUUAGGUGAAUUAAUGCAGUUUGUUUAAGUAGGUCCCUACUGAUGAAUGUUGAUUUCUUCCAAUUUGCGAGGUGGGGGGUGGGGGUGGAGGAAUAUUGUAAACACUUCUUUUCCUUUGAGUCAUUGUAUCUGAGGGUUAGAUGUCUAGAUCUUGAAUUGCUAGAUUAAAAACAGCCCAGAUGUCUUUCAGCAAGUGAAUGGGUAAGCAGAUUCUGGUUUGCUUUGCAUUCCAAGCCAUGGAAUACACCCCAGCGAUAAAAAGGAACAGGAUACAGGGGCGCCUGGGUGGCUCAGUUGGUUAAGUGUCCGCCUCGGCUCUGGUCAUGAUCCUUGCAGUUCAUGAGUUUGAGCCCCGCGCUGACAGCGCGGAGCCUGGAGCCUGCUUCAGAUUCUGCGUUUCCCUAUCUCUUUGCCCUUCCCCUGCUCACACUCCGUCUCUCUCUCUCACUCAGAAUAAAUAAACAUUAAACAGUUUUUUAAUUAGAAUAAUUUAAAAAUUUAAAAAAAAAUGAACGGACUACACAACUGGGAAGAAACUAAGGAAUUAUGUUGGGUGAAAAAAGCCAAUCCCAAAAGGUUACAUGCUAUGUAAUUCUUUUUAUAUAUAACAUUUGUAAGUGACACAAUUUAGAAAUGGAAGACAACUCAGUGAUUGCCAGGGGUUAGGGAUGGGGUGGGAUAGGAUGUGGAGAGUCAUGGGGGGAGGUAGGGCUGGUCAAAAAAGGCAACAGAGAUGAUCCUUGUGGUGAUGGAACUGUGCAGUGUAUCUUCAUUGUCGUGGUGAAUCCUAAUGGGGAUAGGUGAGUCCAAAUGUGAAAUUGUAUAGCACUAAACACACACACACACACACACACACACACACACACACACACAGACACACACACACACACGUACAAGUAAGAAGGGAAAUCUCAACCUUAAUGCCAAUAUCCCGACUGUGAUACUGGACUCUAGUUUUGCAAAAUAUUAUCUCUGGGGAUACUGGGGUAAAGAGUACACGGGAUCUCUUUGUAUUCUUUUGUGUGAAUCUACAAUUACCUUUAAAUCUAUAUUAAAAAAUUUUAAAAACA